GAGAGAGCACUUUUAUGACGGA
RNAcentral lists this microRNA (22 nucleotides) under Schistosoma mansoni. RNAcentral's name for it is "sma-miR-281-5p". Its record names the gene sma-miR-281-5p. The record is from miRBase by way of RNAcentral. Lineage: Eukaryota; Metazoa; Platyhelminthes; Trematoda; Strigeidida; Schistosomatidae.